This 483-nucleotide ribosomal RNA is filed under the name uncultured bacterium. Its description in RNAcentral is "partial 16S ribosomal RNA". It matches the Rfam family "Bacterial small subunit ribosomal RNA", at positions 29 to 506 of the family's 1533-position model. The record is from RNAcentral.
AUUGAACGCUGGCGGCAUGCUUUACACAUGCAAGUCGAACGGCAGCGCGGGCUUCGGCCUGGCGGCGAGUGGCGAACGGGUGAGUAAUACAUCGGAACGUGCCCAGUAGUGGGGGAUAGCUCGGCGAAAGCCGGAUUAAUACCGCAUACGACCUGAGGGUGAAAGCGGGGGAUCUUCGGACCUCGCGCUAUUAGAGCGGCCGAUGGCAGAUUAGCUAGUUGGUGGGGUAAAGGCCUACCAAGGCGACGAUCUGUAGCUGGUCUGAGAGGACGACCAGCCACACUGGGACUGAGACACGGCCCAGACUCCUACGGGAGGCAGCAGGGGGGAAUUUUGGACAAUGGGCGAAAGCCUGAUCCAGCAAUGCCGCGUGUGUGAUGAAGGCCUUCGGGUUGUAAAGCACUUUUGGUGGGAACGAAAAGGACUGUGCCAAUACCACGGUUCGAUGACGGUACCCGCAGAAUAAGCACCGGCUAACUACGU